AGUGAACGCUGGCGGUAGGCCUAACACAUGCAAGUCGAACGGCGGCACAGGAGAGCUUGCUCUCUGGGUGGCGAGUGGCGGACGAGUGAGGAAUGCAUCGGAAUCUACUCUGUCGUGGGGGAUAACGUAGGGAAACUUACGCUAAUACCGCAUACGACCUACGGGUGAAAGCAGGGGACCUUCGGGCCUUGCGCGAUUGAAUGAGCCGAUGUCGGAUUAGCUAGUUGGCGGGGUAAAGGCCCACCAAGGCGACGAUCCGUAGCUGGUCUGAGAGGAUGAUCAGCCACACUGGAACUGAGACACGGUCCAGACUCCUACGGGAGGCAGCAGUGGGGAAUAUUGGACAAUGGGCGCAAGCCUGAUCCAGCCAUACCGCGUGGGUGAAGAAGGCCUUCGGGUUGUAAAGCCCUUUUGUUGGGAAAGAAAUCCAGCUGGCUAAUACCCGGUUGGGAUGACGGUACCCAAAGAAUAAGCACCGGCUAACUUCGUGCCAGCCGCCGCCGUAA
This 506-nucleotide ribosomal RNA is filed under the name uncultured bacterium. RNAcentral describes it as "partial 16S ribosomal RNA". It matches the Rfam family "Bacterial small subunit ribosomal RNA", at positions 29 to 523 of the family's 1533-position model. The record is from RNAcentral.